GUGCCAGCCGCCGCGGUAAGACGAACCGUCCAAACGUUAUUCGGAAUCACUGGGCUUAAAGGGUGCGUAGGCGGCGCGGGAAGUUGGGUGUGAAAGCCCUCGGCUCAACCGAGGAAUUGCGCCCAAAACUGCCGUGCUUGAGGGAGAUAUAGGUGAGCGGAACUUAGGGUGGAGCGGUGAAAUGCGUUGAGAUCCUAAGGAACACCAGUAGCGAAAGCGGCUCACUGGGUCUCUUCUGACGCUGAUGCACGAAAGCUAGGGGAGCGAAGAGGAUUAGAUACCCCCGUAGUCC
RNAcentral lists this ribosomal RNA (292 nucleotides) under uncultured bacterium. RNAcentral's name for it is "partial 16S ribosomal RNA". It matches the Rfam family "Bacterial small subunit ribosomal RNA", at positions 505 to 796 of the family's 1533-position model. The record is from RNAcentral.